AAAACCAACAAGACGUCAGUGACGGGGAACGUAACUUCUUAGAAAAUCUGACAACGACUAGGAAUUCCUCAACUACACGAGUGUUGACCCAAAGAGGGUUAUAGGUGAAAGUGUUCAUUAUUUAAAAAAAGAAAAAGGCUUUUUUGAGAAGCACUGGCCAAGGCAACUGGCGAUGUUUGAGCCGGAAUCCAUGGAUGGAAUAGCCAUAGUUGUCCGCAACAUCUGCCGUUCCGGCAACAUUUUUAUUUAACAACAUUCGCCACUUCACGGACAACUGUCCAACCGCUGCAACUCGCACCACGGCACAGUCCCCAAAACACGGGCGAACGGCCAAGAAUUAGGAGACGCCUUUUGGUCAGGUGUAACGCCGCCACAGAACACGCCCCGAUCGAGACCAGAUGCGAAGUUUCCAAACCACUUGGGAAGCGGAUCUUCGUAAUCUGCACCAAGAUUGACCACACCCCUUAUUUGGCUUAAUGCCGCCGUCUACGUCAUCAUUGGGCCCAACGAUAACUACUGAUACAGGAGAACGAUUUGGUAAAGCUGCGUGAGUAAAGAGAGAAAAAGUAUAAAAAGGUUAAAAUGUAUAUAAAAAGGUUAAAAUGCAACAAACCGAAUUUAAAACCAUAUAUGUUGGAAUU
Molecule: long non-coding RNA, 641 nt
Organism: Scaptodrosophila lebanonensis
Lineage: Eukaryota; Metazoa; Arthropoda; Insecta; Diptera; Drosophilidae
Exons: 3
Source: RefSeq, a predicted model, not a curated record